Molecule: long non-coding RNA, 2230 nt
Organism: Oncorhynchus tshawytscha (Chinook salmon)
Lineage: Eukaryota; Metazoa; Chordata; Actinopteri; Salmoniformes; Salmonidae
Source: Ensembl
CCUCUCCCUCAGUAGUUUGCCUGUGUAGACGGUUGAUAGAUUGGUACAUGAUGCCUCUCCCUCAGUAGUUUGCCUGUGUAGACGGUUGAUAGAUUGGUACAUGAUGCCUCUCCCUCAGUAGUUUGCCUGUGUAGAUGGUUGAUAGAUUGGCACAUGAUGCCUCUCCCUCAGUAGUUUGCCUGUGUAGAUGGUUGAUAGAAAGUUGUACUAAAUUAAUGUCUUCUUCCGUAGCUUGCUUAGCAUGCUCUCCCAUCAAGAAAAUGGAGUGUGGUGUGUGAAGAUGUGAUGUGUGAAGAUUUGAGGACGGGAAUUGGUGUGAAGAUUUGAGGACGGGAAUUGGUGUGAAGAUUUGAGGACGGGAAUUGGAUAUGUGUACCAAUAUGAAACUCCGGCUGGAUCUGAAAUUGAGGUGUACUCAAACAGUGUUUGUGGAGAUCUUAUGACUCCAAUAGCCUACUGUGGCAUGAACAAGCCUUUUGAGGCACAUCUCUCUGAUAAGGUGAUAAAUGUGAACAACAGUGCUGUCAUCCUCUCUGAAUGCCUGAAUCUGACAUUCACAUUCUUUCAUGUUCUCCAGGGCAAGGUGGAGGAGCGCCAUUUGUAUUACAUUGUUGCAGGGCAAGGUGGAGGAGUGCCAUUUGUAUUACAUUGUUGCAGGUAAAGAAUGAUUUUCCUAUUUUCUUUCAUUUUAAACUUCUUGCACUUUCAUAUUGAUACAUAUAUCCAAGGCAGUUAACGCUAAUUUCUCUGGAUAAGAGCGUCUGCUAAAAUGUAAAAAACGUAGACUGACAAUUCAACUGACAUUUUAAUUUACAAUCCGACUGACACCUCGGACAACACAUCAGGUAAGUACUCUUAACUAAUAUAAAGACAGCUCAUUACUGUCUAUAGCAUCUCCAUCUGAAAUAAAAUACAUAUUCAAUUGAAAUGAUUUUACUCUCUGAUUAAACUCAGGAAAUGGAGACAAAGCCAAAGCCACUGGCCACACAAAGGAAAUCACUGCUGGUGUUCUUGGUUCUGCUGCUGGGCAUUGCUGGUUUCUUAGUGUACAGAUAUGGCAACAUUCCUUGGAGAGACAAACAUCCCUUAGAUCGGCUGGGUCGGGACUACCUUAACACCAACAGGGAAAAACAAAGGGACCAGGGGGAUGGGGUGGAAGAGGAGAGGGAGCCACCACACAGUCAGGAGACACAUGUUGAGUCCUCUCUGCUGAAUGGGCAUCUUGUGAACAGGGUUAACGAUGAGACUAAGGAAGCGACUCCUGGUGCACAGAGUCCAGGACCUCCUCAGACGAAUGGAGGACCUCCCAUGUCUGACAGGUUGGAGAACAACCCUGUUGGUCAGUGGAUGAAGAAAACUGCUCUGGUGAACAAGCAGGACCAGGACUGGUCAGCAACGGCAUGAAGCCAGUUGAAAAUAUAUAGCAUAUAAGAUGAAACUAAGUGUAAAUAUAAUAAAAAAUAACAUGAUAUACACUGUAAUAUAGAACAGUAUAAUAUAAUAUGACAUGAUAUAAUAUCGUAACACUUACUUGUAUAGUGUUAUAUAUUCUAAUGAAUGCAUUCUUAACAACAUGAAUGAUGCAUUAAUGCAUACAUAGGACAUAACUGUAUAGUAAAAUUAUAAUAUAAUACUGUGCUGGUAAGCUGCUAGCUGUGGGGUUGCCCCCAGCUGUGGUUUCUAUUAUUCAGAGUAUCUAAGCUCAACUUCAAAUCCAUAGUUUUUAGCUUAGUUCUUACCGUAAACUAGCACUUCUUAGAGACAAAGUUAUGGGACAUGCUGUAUAACUACUUACCAUUCUGAAGUGUAACAGUCAAGUUUAUAUGUAACAAUUGUUCAUCCCUUUUUUAAAUGUUUAUUUAUAUAUUUGUUUGCUUGAUUAGAUUGAAUUAGUAUGACUAAUGCAUUAUUUUACCCUCCCGUAUAGAGGGACAUUAUUUUACCCUCCUGUAUAGAGGGACAUUAUUUUACCCUCCUGUAUAGAGGGACAUUAUUUUACCCUCCUGUAUAGAGGGACAUUAUUUUACCCUCCCAUAUAGAGGGACAUUAUUUUACCCUCCCGUAUAGAGGGACAUUAUUUUACCCUCCCGUAUAGAGGGACAUUAUUUUACCCUCCCGUAUAGAGGGACAUUAUUUUACCCUCCCGUAUAGAGGGACAUUAUUUUACCCUCCCGUAUAGAGGGACAUUAUUUUACCCUCCUGUAUAGAGGGACAUUAUGUUACCCUCCUG